AUUUAAUUUUUAUAAAAUUGUUGCAAGUGUGGUUUGUCUUAGUUAGACAAGGAAGCAAUCAAGAGAUUUUCUCUCUAUCAUAAUUAUUAGAUUCUCAUUUUAUCAGAUAGCUAGCUUUUGUUUUAAGAAACUUUUUCUUUUUGUGCAUGUGAACUCCUGAAACCCUUUAUAUGAAUAUGAAUGUAUGUGCACCAGUUCUUGUUUUUUUCUCA
RNAcentral lists this unclassified non-coding RNA (212 nucleotides) under Hevea brasiliensis (rubber tree). Lineage: Eukaryota; Viridiplantae; Streptophyta; Magnoliopsida; Malpighiales; Euphorbiaceae. The record is from RNAcentral.